Molecule: long non-coding RNA, 615 nt
Organism: Orcinus orca (killer whale)
Lineage: Eukaryota; Metazoa; Chordata; Mammalia; Artiodactyla; Delphinidae
Exons: 4
Source: RefSeq, a predicted model, not a curated record
CUUAUCCAAAGAAGAAAGAACAACAAUGUGGCGUGGCCAUAGACACCUUGCACCACAGCCUCUGCAGGACCAAAUUGACAGCUCUUUAAAGGCGUCUGACGAAAAGCAGCAUUAAUUAAGUCAUUGCCGGACUGUAAUUGUGUUAAGAAGUAAAAAUCUAAUAUGAGAAAAGUUUUGAUGAUCAUAUCGGGAGGAGGGAUGCUACUGGCAUCUAGUGGGUAGAGACCAGAGAUGCUGCUUAACAUCCUGCAGUGUACAGGACAGCCCCACAGCAAAGACUUCUCCGGCCCAAAUGUUGAUAGUGCAAAGGGCGACAAACCCUGGCACAUGCCAAGUUGAAGGGUCGCUGCUUUGGAUUAAUACCAUACAUAGGAUUCCAGCCACAUGGCCUUCUUCCAUUUCUUUGAGUCAGCAAAACUCCUUCCUGCAUAUUCUGUUUUGUGGGGGCUGAGAAAUACUCUUUGCGCUGCCUCAUCCUGAUCUGUCUCAAAUAACCCUUUCAGUGAUGGCCUAAUGUUACCUCCUCCAGGAAGCCCUCCCUGACAUCUUUCUUCUCCUCAAAGUUGGAUCAUUUUCUCCUGUUUCAUAUUAUCACUGCACUAAUUUCUUCUCCUC